GACGAACGCUGGCGGCGUGCUUAACACAUGCAAGUCGAACGGAAAGGCCCUGCUUUUGUGGGGUGCUCGAGUGGCGAACGGGUGAGUAACACGUGAGUAACCUGCCCUUGACUUUGGGAUAACUUCAGGAAACUGGGGCUAAUACCGGAUAGGAGCUCCUGCUGCAUGGUGGGGGUUGGAAAGUUUCGGCGGUUGGGGAUGGACUCGCGGCUUAUGCGCUUGUUGGGGGGGUAGUGGCUUACCAAGGCUUUGACGGGUAGCCGGCCUGAGAGGGUGACCGGCCACAUUGGGACUGAGAUACGGCCCAGUCGCCUACGGGAGGCAGCAGUGGGGAAUAUUGCACAAUGGGCGGAAGCCUGAGGCAGCAACGCCGCGUGCGGGAUGACGGCCUUCGGGUUGUAAACCGCUUUCGCCUGUGACGAAGCGUGAGUGACGGUAAUGGGUAAAGAAGCACCGGCUAACUACGUG
This 468-nucleotide ribosomal RNA is filed under the name uncultured bacterium. Its description in RNAcentral is "partial 16S ribosomal RNA". It matches the Rfam family "Bacterial small subunit ribosomal RNA", at positions 28 to 507 of the family's 1533-position model. The record is from RNAcentral.